CGCUCCUCCUAUAUGGUGGUCUGCUUCGUUCGAUUCACCGCACUUUCAGAGGUGAACGCCAUCUUGACGCAUGCGCUAUCCCCUUAUAAACUCCUCGAAUCGAAGCACCGACGAUGCGCGCACAGAUACACGUGCAGACGCGUCCCCCCUCUCCUCUCCUCUGCCCUCGGUAGCCACAGACGCAUUGCUGCAUCUCGGCUACGUGCACGUGUUGAGCUGUCGCUCUUUCCUCGAGCGCAGUCCGUGUCUCAUCUGUGCGCGUGCACCUGGUGCAAUAUACAGACACAGACAAGCCUACCGUGUGGCGCGCGUUCGUCUCUCGUGCCUGAUCCCCUCAAUUACGAGCGACCUCGCUGUUUUGUUUCCCCGCGUCGUGACGGCGGCUCUGCCAUCGAGCGUUGGCGUCGCGUAUGUCGGCCGCAGCGAUGAGUUACAGCAACACGUUUGCCCUGGCUGUCACGUUAUGCAUUGUCGUCGCUGUUUUAGGCGGGCUUGGCGCCUUUCUGUGCCUUACGGCUCGGCGCCAACGAAGUGCCGCUGCGGAAGACGGACGAGAAUCUGAGCUGCGGACCUCCGCGGAGGCAUCGCGUGCCCGCCAUCAAGGGAGUCGCGCUCAUCUUCCAGAGGCGAUCCCGCUAGAGACAGAUCCUAGCAAUGGCGGUCCAGCACUCGGAAACGCAUUCAUCAAAGAUUUCAACAUUCUGCGCGAUUACGAAGGCGAAUUCGUGCGGGUGGAUGUUGCCAACUCGACUUCUGGAACGCCUGCUGGUGUUCCACCCCCGUCAAAUAGCAGCGGUAGCCAGUGGGGAAGCGUCCCAGGAGAGGGCACGAUGAUAUCAUCUUAUAGACAGCACCCAGUAUCGACCGCGUCUCCUCUUGCUCCCGCAAAUCCGCAACACACGGAGGUACCCGCGUUUCCAGAAGAUCUGGAGCGCGGUGGAUACGUGAUCGUGGAGUGUGACCAGCAGCAAGAACGUGCCGGAAAUGACUUUGGAACCACUGCCGCCGCCGCAUCAAAUCAUCAGAUGCCGAGCCUGAAGGAGGCUAAGCCAGCGCGCAAGUUGGAAUUUUAUCGGCAUAAAUCCUCGAGCGCUGUGUAUGGUACGGCCCAGUACUACAACAACCCCUUUUAAGGGCCGAGUGAUUGGGCACAGCCUUCUCGUGGGCUUCUGGUGGCGCUCCUCCUUUUUUUUUUCGGUCUUCGUUUGCGUUAUUGCGGGUCUCUCAACAGCCCCAUCGACGUCUCCCUCUCUCAUGGUUUCGUAGGGCGUGCGUACCUGGGCCCUUGUGAGGGCGGUGAAUCGCCUUCGCUUCGCUGUUGCUACCCCGCUCUCUCUCCUUCGCCCUCGUAUAUCAUUCUUCCGUUUGACUAGCCCGAAUCAGCGAUGCCUCCUCAGGGUGUCAAUGCUGAUACCGCAGUUGUUUACGGUUGCGUGCUCAGGUUGAUAUCGGUCUCCGCCUCUCAUGAACCCCCCUCCCCUGACGUGCGGUAUGUACUUUAUCUUCCGUUCAACUGUGGUACAGGACGCCACAGCACCUUCAGAGAGUCUUCAUUCGCAGCCAAUUCAAAGAUGGCAUAAGCACGGCAUCGGCCCCCAUGAUGUCGAUUGGCAUCUUUUCUGUCCGACAUGGCCGUGGCGGCUGUGCCUGCGCAACUUUUUGUUUUUUCUCUGCUCUGAUUCCCCUCCCCACUCCUCCAACCCUCCUCCUCCUGCCCUUGCGUCUCAUUACUAUUCUUGGACGACGUGGCAGCAUCGCUUACCAGGCUGAUUGGUUGGUUGUUCACAUGGGCUUCUGUAUGCGUCUGCGCGCAUGUGUUGGGCCGUGUCUGUGUGUAUGUAUGUGUCUCUCUCUCCCUCGUGUCACGGAUGCUGUUGCCUGUGUUCCCACUUUGCCUCCUAUUUUCCUUCUCUCAGCCACGUAGGCGCUCUCCCUCUCGGCGUGCUUUUUCUCAUGCCUUUGUGCUCGAGUGGUCCGUCGUGUUUACUGUCCCUUCUCCCCGCUCAUGUGCUCGGAGGUGGGCGGCGUGCCCGCAAAGUCGCGCAUUUUCCCCCUUUUUUUUCGCGUGGCCUCCACCCAACCGCCUUUUGCCUUUUUCUUCCAUUUGGAUCGACUCAGGCUAGUAGGGCCCUGCACGAGACCCGCUUUGGAUCAAGGCAUGCAGCCGGCCGCGAGUUCGCCUGGUGCCGGUGGCGCACCACGAAUGUGGAGCAGGACAAGAAAAUCCCGCUAGACGCAUGGUCCCUACUCAAUGGCAGGACGGUUCGUCGUGGACGGCCAGUAUUUCGCUGGCGUGCGACGGAGGUAUGUGAGCUGUGGUUGUUGUGUAUGCGCGUAUAUUUAGUUGACUUCUUUCUUUCAGAAAGGCAAGCUGAUUACCCCUCCCCCUCCCCCUCCAAAAAAAAAUAAGAAAACGCUUUUCUUCGACUCUCUCUUCCUCACCAAUUUCCUUUCAUUCCUUCGCGCGGGUUAUAUCGACAUGCGAUCACAACACACACACACACACACAACACACGCACGCACAGCUGAAGCAUAACCUUCAGAUACGGACUUCCGUAAUAUCUCCGUGGGCUGUGUGAUUGCAUGUGUUGUGCAUUUUUGAGGUAUCCUUCGGCCUUGAAACCCGCGGAUCCUCUUCUUUUCUUGGUUUCUCUCACUUCUCCGAUG
Molecule: unclassified non-coding RNA, 2667 nt
Filed under: Leishmania donovani
Lineage: Eukaryota; Euglenozoa; Kinetoplastea; Trypanosomatida; Trypanosomatidae
Description: gene:unknown
Source: RNAcentral